RNAcentral lists this ribosomal RNA (468 nucleotides) under uncultured bacterium. RNAcentral's name for it is "partial 16S ribosomal RNA". It matches the Rfam family "Bacterial small subunit ribosomal RNA", at positions 28 to 507 of the family's 1533-position model. The record is from RNAcentral.
GACGAACGCUGGCGGCGUGCUUAACACAUGCAAGUCGAACGGAAAGGCCCUGCUUUUGUGGGGUGCUCGAGUGGCGAACGGGUGAGUAACACGUGAGUAACCUGCCCUUGACUUUGGGAUAACUUCAGGAAACUGGGGCUAAUACCGGAUAGGAGCUCCUGCUGCAUGGUGGGGGUUGGAAAGUUUCGGCGGUUGGGGAUGGACUCGCGGCUUAUCAGCUUGUUGGUGGGGUAGUUGCUUACCAAGGCUUUGACGGGUAGCCUGCCUGAGAGGGUGACCGGCCACAUUGGGACUGAGAUACGGACCAGAAUGCUACGGGAGGCAGUAGUGGGGAAUAUUGCACAACGGGCGGAAGCCUGAUGCAGAAACGCCGCGUGCGGGAUGACGGCCUUCGGGUUGUAAACCGCUGUCGCAUGUGACGAAGAGUGAGUGACGGUAAUGGGUAAAGAAGCAACGGCUAACUACGUG